AUGGCCCGCGGUGCAUUAGCUAGUUGGUAAGGUAAAGGCUUACCGAAGGCGAUGAUGCAUAGCCCGAGUUGAGAGACUGAUCGGGCCACAGUUGGGGACUGAGACACGGGGACCCAAACUCCGUACGGGGGGAGGGGCAGCAGUAGGGGGAAUCUUCCACAAUGGACGCAAGUCUGAUGGAGCAACGCCGCGUGAGUGAAGAAGGUUUUCGGAUCGUAAAGCUCUGUUGUUGGUGAAGAAGGAUAGAGGUAGUAACUGGCCUUUAUUUGACGGUAAUCAACCAGAAAGUCACGGCUAACUACGUGCCAGCAGCCGCGGUAAU
Molecule: ribosomal RNA, 322 nt
Filed under: uncultured Lactobacillus sp.
Lineage: Bacteria; Bacillati; Bacillota; Bacilli; Lactobacillales; Lactobacillaceae
Description: bacterial SSU rRNA
Rfam family: Bacterial small subunit ribosomal RNA
Source: RNAcentral